UGUUGUUGUGGACGAUGUUUUUGUUGAUAUUGUUGAUGUUGUUGUUGGUGGUGUUGAUAAUGUUGAGCUUCCCUGAAGGCAGGUGCUAUAUGAGCCACCUGGUGCUUGUUACUGGUAGGGCGGACAUUCUUCCUUUUCACAGAGGGUCUUUGUUUAAUAUGGGAAGACACAGCAUGCGCCCCUCCCUCUUUCUUCUUUGCAAAGCCCCCAUAUCGCUUUGCAGAAG
This 226-nucleotide long non-coding RNA is filed under the name Lathyrus oleraceus (garden pea). RNAcentral describes it as "Pisum sativum (pea) long non-coding RNA (PSAT_LNC005034)". Lineage: Eukaryota; Viridiplantae; Streptophyta; Magnoliopsida; Fabales; Fabaceae. The record is from RNAcentral.